CGAUGUGCAGCAAUGUGAAAGAUUUAUUGCCUACGAGAUGAGCUCGCGUCUGAUUAGCUAGUAGGUGUGGUAAUGGCGCACCUAGGCGACGAUCAGUAACUGGUCUGAGAGGAUGACCAGUCACACUGGGACUGAGACACGGCCCAGACUCCUACGGGAGGCAGCAGUGGGGAAUUUACCGCAAUGGGCGAAAGCCUGACGGAGCAAUACCGCGUGAGGGACGAAGGCUUUUGGGUCGUAAACCUCUUUUCCCUGAGAAGAAGAUCUGACGGUAUCAGAGGAAUCAGCAUCGGCUAACUUCGUGCCAGCAGCCGCGGUAAUACGAGGGAUGCAAGCGUUAUCCGGAAUCAUUGGGCGUAAAGCGUCCG
RNAcentral lists this ribosomal RNA (368 nucleotides) under uncultured cyanobacterium. RNAcentral describes it as "bacterial SSU rRNA". It matches the Rfam family "Bacterial small subunit ribosomal RNA", at positions 187 to 571 of the family's 1533-position model. The record is from RNAcentral. Lineage: Bacteria; Bacillati; Cyanobacteriota.